RNAcentral lists this ribosomal RNA (253 nucleotides) under uncultured bacterium. RNAcentral describes it as "partial 16S ribosomal RNA". It matches the Rfam family "Bacterial small subunit ribosomal RNA", at positions 524 to 776 of the family's 1533-position model. The record is from RNAcentral.
UACGUAGGUGGCAAGCGUUGUCCGGAUUUACUGGGUGUAAAGGGCGGGUAGGCGGGAUAGCAAGUCAGAUGUGAAAUUCCGGGGCUUAACCCCGGCGCUGCAUCUGAAACUGCUAUUCUUGAGGGUCCGAGAGGAAAGUGGAAUUCCCAGUGUAGCGGUGAAAUGCGUAGGGAUUGGGAGGAGAACCAGUGGCGAGGGCGGGUUCCUGGACGAUAACUGACGCCGAGGCGCGACAUCCUGCGGAGCAAACAGC